This 1997-nucleotide ribosomal RNA is filed under the name Philactinoposthia saliens. RNAcentral's name for it is "eukaryotic LSU rRNA". It matches the Rfam family "Eukaryotic large subunit ribosomal RNA", at positions 183 to 1970 of the family's 3401-position model. Lineage: Eukaryota; Metazoa; Xenacoelomorpha; Acoela; Childiidae. The record is from RNAcentral.
AAUUGUGAUGGAAAGCACAGCCAAAGAGGGUGAUAGCCCCGUAAGUGAUUUUGAAAUUCGAGAGACAAUUGAUUACUACAUCAGAGUAUAGUUGUUUGAAAUUGCAACUAGAAGGUUGGGGAUAUGUCUCCCCAAAGGCUAAAUAUUAGUGUGAAACCGAUAGUAAACAAGUACCGUGAGGGAAAGUUGAAAAGCACUCUGAAGAGAGAGUGAAAAGUAUGUGAAACCGAUGCGGGGGAAGGGAAUUGGCUGUUAGUAUACUCAGUGCCGGUUUAGCCGGUGAAAGAGUAGUGAUUAUAGUAUUGUGAAUGCAGAAGAGAUGAAGGUUUAGAGUUGUUGUUGGAUCAUUAUUGAACCGACUCAAUCUAUCCUAAAUAAAUGAAAUGAGCUAAUAGUCUCCAUUUCGAAUAUAUUCUGCCAGUGAGCGAUACGGAUAACACCUAUAAUGGCCAUUCCUGCCCGUCUUGAAACACGGACCAAGGAGUGUGUUGUUGCGGGCAAGUCAAUCCAUAGUAACUAAAUGGACAGGCGCAGUGAAAGCAAAGAUCCACUAUUUAAUAGUUGGUAGCUUGUCGAAGUGAUGGUAUAGGUGCAGGUACCCGCAACUUCCGGUGGCAAUUUGCACUUAAUCUGUCAUCCGUUAGCCCGUAACACACGACCCGAAAGAUGGUGAUCUAUGCUUGGGCAGAGUGAAGCCACGAGAAAUCAUGGUGGAAGCUCGCAGCGAUUCUGACGUGCAAAUCGAUCGCGUGACCUGAGUAUAGGGGCGAAAGACCAAUCGAACCAUCUAGUAGCUGGUUCCCUCCGAAGUUUCCCUCAGGAUAGCAAAGAUUCAUUCAAUAAAUAAAUAAUUUCAUCGGGUAAAGCGAAUGAUUAGAGGACUGGGGGAAUAUAAUUCCUUCACCUAUUCUCAAACUUUAAAUCGGUGAGACGUUCUUGUCAUUUAAUUAGACUUGAACUAAAUAUGGGGCUUUCAGUCUGACUGUUGGCAACCAUUUGAAUAUGAGAAUCUUUUGUGGGCCGUUUUUGGUAAGCAGAACCGGCGAUGUGGGAUGAACCAAAAGUUAAGUUAAGGCGCCUAACUACUUGUUCAUGAGUAACCAAAAAAGGUGUUGGUUGAUGGAGACAGCAGGACGGUGGCCAUGGAAGUCGGAAUCCGCUAAGGAGUGUGUAACAACUCACCUGCCGAAUCAACCAGCCCUGAAAAUGGAUGGCACUUGAACUCGUGGCCUAUACUUAACCAUGAACUUAAAAGAUUAGUCGUUAAGCCAGUGAUCUGCACCCUCUGGUGACUAAAUCAAAUUUUGUUUGCGACCUGAUCUAUUAAUUUAGUUCUAACUGCAUUCAAUUUAAAUACAGUUCAUGAGUAGGAGGGAACAGCGGUUGCAGUAAAGCAUGCUUGUGAAAUCAUGUGUGUAGCAGCCGUUAGCUCAGAUCUUGGUGGUAGUAGCAAGUACUCAAUUAUGAACUUUGAGGACUGAAGCGGGAAAGGUUUCCAUGUGAACAGCGUUUGAACAUGGGUUAGUCGGUCCUUAGGAACAUGCUAAUGCAAAUUGAAUGUUCAUGUUCGUUAUAUCAUUAACUUGGUAUAUUCGUCUGAACAAGUUCCGAAAGGGAAUCAGGUUAAUAUUCCUGAACCACUUCUAUUUGUGUUUGAGAUGACGGUAACGUUGCGUGACGAUUCAACUCGGUUAUUGGAGACUGGCGAAGAGUUUUCUUUUCUUGAUAACCAGAUAACAGCUCCUUGGAAUUGCUUUAUGCAGAGAUAAGGGCUCGUAGACUGGGAAGAGCACAACAGCAUUUGUUGUGUGACCACGUUCUCUGAUAAUCCCUUGAAAGUUGGAUUUCACAAUAUACUAAUAGAAGUGUCCGUACCUUAAACCGCAUCAGGUCCCCAAGGUGAGAAGCCUCUUGUUUUGGAACAGUGUAGGUAAGGGAAGUCGGCAAUCUAGAUCCGUACCUUAGGAAGAAGGAUUGGCUCUGAUGAUUGGGUGUAU